This 463-nucleotide ribosomal RNA is filed under the name uncultured bacterium. Its description in RNAcentral is "partial 16S ribosomal RNA". It matches the Rfam family "Bacterial small subunit ribosomal RNA", at positions 28 to 507 of the family's 1533-position model. The record is from RNAcentral.
GAUGAACGCUGACAGAAUGCUUAACACAUGCAAGUCGAUGGGGAAGUGGUGCUUGCACCAUGGUAACCAUGGCGGACGGGUGAGUAACGCGUAAGGAACUUGCCUGCGGGACUGGGAUAACAGCAGGAAACUGCUGAUAAUACCGGAUAAGGUCAUUAAGCUGCAUAGCUUAGUGAUGAAAGGAGACGCCUGCGGAGAGCCUUGCGUCCUAUUAGCUAGUUGGAGGGGUAACGGCCCACCAAGGCGAAGAUAGGUAGCCGGCCUGAGAGGGUGGACGGCCACAAGGGGACUGAGAUACGGCCCUUACUCCUACGGGGGGCAGCAGUGGGGAAUAUUGGACAAUGGGGGCAACCCUGAUCCAGCAAUUCUGUGUGCACGAAGACGGUUUUCGGAUUGUAAAGUGCUUUCAGCAGGGAAGAAGGAAGUGACGGUACCUGCAGAAGAAGCGACGGCUAAAUACGUG